RNAcentral lists this ribosomal RNA (448 nucleotides) under uncultured bacterium. RNAcentral describes it as "bacterial SSU rRNA". It matches the Rfam family "Bacterial small subunit ribosomal RNA", at positions 30 to 526 of the family's 1533-position model. The record is from RNAcentral.
CGAACGCUGGCGGCAGGCUUAACACAUGCAAGUCGAGCGCCCCGCAAGGGGAGCGGCAGACGGGUGAGUAACGCGUGGGAAUCUACCCUUUACUACGGAACAACUGAGGGAAACUUCAGCUAAUACCGUAUGUGUCCUUCGGGAGAAAGAUUUAUCGGUAAAGGAUGAGCCCGCGUUGGAUUAGCUAGUUGGUGGGGUAAAGGCCUACCAAGGCGACGAUCCAUAGCUGGUCUGAGAGGAUGAUCAGCCACACUGGGACUGAGACACGGCCCAGACUCCUACGGGAGGCAGCAGUGGGGAAUAUUGGACAAUGGGCGCAAGCCUGAUCCAGCCAUGCCGCGUGUGUGAUGAAGGUCUUAGGAUUGUAAAGCACUUUCACCGGAGAAGAUAAUGACGGUAUCCGGAGAAGAAGCCCCGGCUAACUUCGUGCCAGCCGCCGCAGUAACAC